GAUCACGUGGCGCAGCAGUCAGGGCCCAGCGGCGGAGGGAGGCGGAGACUCAGACCGAGACACUAGGAGGGAGGAGGAGGUGGAGGAGGAGGAGGAGGAGGAGGAGGUGGUGGUGGUGAAGGAGGAGGAGGAGGAGGAGGAGAAGGAGGAGGCAGUGGUGGUGCCCUGGCUGCCGCCGACGCCGACACAGGAGAGGAGACAAGACGAGACACCGAGUGCCGCCGGCGCCGCCGCCGCCGCCCCCGGGGGAGAGGCAGUUAAGUCUAGUAGAAUAUUGGACUGGGAAUACUAGACUGCCCCACUGCCAUUCACUCCAUUUAUCUGUAUCUCUUUCUGAGCUGAUACUGAGAAAUGAUCAGGUAGCUAUUUUUGAUGUCCAGCUCUCCACAUGCCCUUUCUUCCCUACUUCCUGCACUCAGUUACUAUGGUUUUUGCAUCUAACUAUUGAAAUCUAGUAAGUAAAUACACUAAUUGGUAACAGAUAUCUUUAGUCC
RNAcentral lists this long non-coding RNA (494 nucleotides) under Phascolarctos cinereus (koala). RNAcentral describes it as "lncRNA (ENSPCIG00000010195.2)". Lineage: Eukaryota; Metazoa; Chordata; Mammalia; Diprotodontia; Phascolarctidae. The record is from RNAcentral.